CAUUGUUCCAUGAAAAAUAAAAUUAACUAAAAAAUUGAUAUGUCACUCAAAUACUUUGUCAUAUAUUCUAAAAUUAAUCAAACAAAGUGAUGCAAUACACAAGUUUAUUUGAUUUAAUUCUGCUAAUGCAUAUACAUUCGUAUUUCAUUACUAUUAAUGUAUAUAUAUAUAUGUGUGUGUGUAAUAUAUAUAUUUAUAUUUCAUUUUGUGUACAUAUGAUACGUUUUAAAUUAAUUGUAUUCUCUACAAAAGAAAAAAUUUAGUUUUCAAUUUUCCAUUUCUAUUUUACAAAUACAUGUGAAAAAAUAGAAAAUUAAGUCAAAAAAAGUUAAGGAUAUAUAAUUACACGUAUUAUAAUCAAUAUCUAGAAAGCUGCCGCGAUUUAAAAUUAAAAUAAACCUUAAUAAAACGACAAAAUUAACAAUCAAAAUAAUAUAGGACAAAGUAAUCAAAUAAUUCUAUUAAAUCUCUCUGUUGCUCCCUUUGUGUAUAUUUGUACGAAUCACGUUAUAAAAUUCGCUUCCCUCGAGCGAGUCAUAACUUUACAUCAUUACAUUUGCAAGACAACCAUUUUCCAGAAACGAUUAUCUUUGCUUGGGGAAACGUGCUCGUUAGGUCGGUGUGCUGCACCUAAAGGUCGCGAUUAUCCCGGUGGUCGUAAAUGAAUAAUACAGAAGUAAUUUUUUUCCGCACCUCCAGCGAGCUGGAAACGGCCACGCAGGAUCCUGCCGACCUCCCUCUAUUUCUGAAAAUGGCAGUUAUCUCAGCGGCCAAUCAUCGGGUUCCUAUAUCUGUGUAUAUAUGCGUGUGUUGUGUGUGUGUGUGUGUGUGUGUGUGUGUGUAUACAUAUAUAUACAUAUAUGUUAUGCGUUAAUACGUGUGAUAGAGAGGGUUAUACUUAUUAAUUAACCGUUCGGUUUGGCGGCCGAAUUUAGAGCACAACGCAUGGAUAAUGCAACCGUAGCCAACUACAUUUGCAUAUUUGAAUGUUGUAUACACCAUGAUGCGGUGAUUACGGACCGAAUCGUGUUGGCUACUGAUGAUGCGAGGUGCAACAUUUUCUUCGAUUAUAUAUUUAUAUACCCACGGGAAAGCAUGAAAUGGAAUAUGGAGAUACAGAUUCGCCCAAUACGCUAUUGAUGUACAUAUCAGAUGUAUCAAAUUAUUCCAGAAAUAUGCAAUGUUCUUUAAUUGAUAGAUAAAAAUAGAAAAAAACCUAUUAAAUUGAUUUUACUCAAUUGUAUAUUUGCUCUCAUUUUAUAUACAAUUAACCGCUUUUUUUUAUCUUCCAACUAAAUUUGGUAUUUCUCCGCUUCUUUCGUUGAAACGUAGACAUAAGUUUUGUUCUCUCUAUUAUUUCAGAGCAUCUAAAUUUUUCGUAUUAGUUAUAGAACAGCUUGGACAACAUUCUGCGGAAAUUUGAGAUUUUAUUUAUUUUUCUCGCGUAUCACACAUGAGUGUAUUUUCCCUUUUUUAAAAUCAUUUUUUACUAUUUUUCUUUUGCCCUCCCCUCUUUCGGGAAUUUCGAGCGUCUAUUCUAUUCAUCCAUCCACAUUUGGAUGGGAAAAGACCUGGAUUUCUCGCGGAAACUUGAAGCGCGCGUGACUCGUCGGCGACGUGUCGUAGCACCCACCGUCGGAUGCGUCGCCAGCAUCCGACGCUAUUAGCUAGAUGCUUCCUAAGAUACCAGGAAAGGAGCGGCAAGCAGGAAGGAGUGGAGCAAGGGGAAUACGAGAGGCGGGAGGAGGGUUAAAAUGGAGUUACAUACUAAUUUCCGUUCCAGCGCGAACGAGUUUGUAUGCUUUAUGACGGUACCGCGCGGUGAUAGAUAGUAAAUGUCAACGCUGCGAGAGAGCGAGCAAGCGAGCGGAGCAGGCGACUCCUGCUGCGUACCCGCCACCCUAACCUAACCCCCGUGUGCGCGUCGUGCAUCAAGUCGUGCUGCCGGGAGCCAGACAUUACGCCGACGUUCGCUCUCUUUCUCUCUCUCUCUCUCUCUCUCCUCUCUGUCUCUCCUUGCACGCUUGCGACCACCGUGUUUAUAAUUUAUGAGUAUUUCUUUUCAUAAAUCUUCAGGACAACGGUGGUCCGUGCACGCUCGUGUGGCGUCCGGCAUGAGCUGAGCCCCUGUCACCUGGAUCUCUCAGAUUUCCGCAGGUUCGAGUUCGGAACUCGUGCACGCGAUGACGUUGAAUCGCCAAGGGAAUCGCUUCUUAGUACAAAAGUAUUAGUGAUUGGUGAAAUGUUCCAUCAGAGGACUUUGCAUCUUUGCACGGGAGAAAAACGAUUAUGCUAAAGCAACCAAAGAUGCAACCAAAGAUGCAACCAGAUAUAGAUAGAGAUCUAAAAAUAAUUGAUGGACUAAUAAAAUAAUUAUGGAGGACGCUCAAAUUUUAUAAUUGCCACACAAUUUUUUUGUAGCACUGCUCAUUAUCCUUAAGCGUUCUCAAAAUCACUCUCUUUCCGUAUGACAACAAAGAUCCACGUGAUGCUACAAAUGCUUCGUAAGUGGUACUUAUUGACCCUCGGAACAAAUAAUUUUAUGACCAAUCAAAGAAUGCUUUGCAGCGUCUAGUUCUUAGUCAGUCAAUUGCGAUAAUGUACUUUGCCGAGGAUUUAUAUUCGCUUCUUUAUUAGUUUAUCGCCUUUAUACGAGUUAUUUAAAUCGACGAAGAAAUUAAUUGCAUUCAAAAUUUAAUUACCUCUUUAACAAAAAUGAGAAACGAUUCAUACUUUAUUUUCAAUUAUAUAUUCCUUAUAUAAAAUCAAUAACGAACGGACAGAAUAAAA
This 2790-nucleotide long non-coding RNA is filed under the name Monomorium pharaonis (pharaoh ant). RNAcentral describes it as "uncharacterized LOC114254764". The record is from RNAcentral. Lineage: Eukaryota; Metazoa; Arthropoda; Insecta; Hymenoptera; Formicidae.